UACGUAGGGGGCAAGCGUUGUCCGGAAUCAUUGGGCGUAAAGGGCGCGUAGGCGGCCUGGUAAGUAGGGGGUGAAAUCCUGCGGCUUAACCGCAGGGCUGCCUUCUAAACUGUCAGGCUUGAGCACGGUAGAGGCAGAUGGAAUUCCCGGUGUAGCGGUGGAAUGCGUAGAGAUCGGGAAGAACAUCAGUGGCGAAGGCGGUCUGCUGGGCCGUUGCUGACGCUGAGGCGCGACAGCGUGGGGAGCAAACAGG
RNAcentral lists this ribosomal RNA (253 nucleotides) under uncultured bacterium. Its description in RNAcentral is "partial 16S ribosomal RNA". It matches the Rfam family "Bacterial small subunit ribosomal RNA", at positions 524 to 776 of the family's 1533-position model. The record is from RNAcentral.